RNAcentral lists this ribosomal RNA (525 nucleotides) under Actinimenes ornatus. Its description in RNAcentral is "partial small subunit ribosomal RNA". Lineage: Eukaryota; Metazoa; Arthropoda; Malacostraca; Decapoda; Palaemonidae. The record is from RNAcentral.
GUUUUAAGGAAGCGGUUAGUGUUGUAUGGUUGUUGGCUUAUAGGGGUGAAAUUUAGAUUUGUUGAGCACUUAUAUAACAUUGAUCGUGCUUUAUAGGCUAUGAAGAUUUAGGUGUAAACUGGGAUUAGAUACCCCAUUAUACUAAAUGGAAAAUAAUAGUGGCGCUUGAGUAGUAAUCAGUUAUGGUCUUGAAAUUUAAAGGAUUUGGCGGUAUUCAAGUCUAGUUAGAGGAACCUGUUUCUUAAACGAUAUGCCACGCAAGAUCUUACUUCCUUUUGUCACUCAGUUUGUAUACCGCCAUUAUUAAGUAAUGUCUUAAGACAUUUACUUAAAUUUAAUUGAUUUGAAGUAUAUUAGGUCAAGGUGCAGCUUAUGGGGAAGUGCUAUAAUGGGUUACAUUGAAAUUUAUUACCGGAUGUAUUCAUUAAAUUGAAUGUUAAAGGUGGAUUUAAUUGUAUGCCCCUUUUAAUACGGGGGGUUGAUAAAAGCGCUAGAAUAUGUACACAUUGCCCGUCGCUCUCAUUA